Molecule: ribosomal RNA, 235 nt
Filed under: uncultured bacterium
Lineage: Bacteria
Description: partial 16S ribosomal RNA
Rfam family: Bacterial small subunit ribosomal RNA
Source: RNAcentral
CGAACGGGUGAGUAACACGUGAGUAACCUGCCCUUCACUCUGGGAUAACGUCGGGAAACCGGUGCUAAUACUGGAUAUGACCUACUCGGGCAUCCGAUGUGGGUGGAAAGAUUUAUUGGUGGGGGAUGGACUCGCGGCCUAUCAGCUUGUUGGUGAGGUAAUGGCUUACCAAGGCGACGACGGGUAGCCGGCCUGAGAGGGCGAUCGGCCACACUGGGACUGAGACACGGCCCAG